AAAAAGAUAAGCUAAUUAAGCUAAUGGGUUCAUACCCCAAUCAUGAAGGUAAUAUCCUUCUCUUUUUA
This 68-nucleotide transfer RNA is filed under the name Locusta migratoria migratoria (Asiatic migratory locust). Its description in RNAcentral is "tRNA-Met". Lineage: Eukaryota; Metazoa; Arthropoda; Insecta; Orthoptera; Acrididae. The record is from RNAcentral.